RNAcentral lists this ribosomal RNA (828 nucleotides) under uncultured bacterium. RNAcentral's name for it is "bacterial SSU rRNA". It matches the Rfam family "Bacterial small subunit ribosomal RNA", at positions 8 to 867 of the family's 1533-position model. The record is from RNAcentral.
AGAGUUUGAUCCUGGCUCAGGAUUAACGCUAGCGACGUGCCUAAGGUAUGCAAGUCGAACGGUUUGUCUUUUUCGUAAGAAAAAUGACAAAUAGUGGCAGACGGCUGAGUAACACGUAGGAAUCUACCCUUAUCUCAUGCAUAGCUUCGCGAAAGUGAAGGUAAUUCAUGAUAGUCUCUACGGAGUAAAGAUAUGAAAAUAUCGGGUAAGGAUGAGCCUGCGUCUUAUCAGGUAGUUGGUAGAGUAAUAGCCUACCAAGCCUAUGACGAGUAGCUGGCCUGAGAGGGUGGUCAGCCAGACUGGGACUGAGACACGGCCCAGACUCCUACGGGAGGCAGCAACUAGGAAUUAUGCGCAAUGGGGGAAACCCUGACGCUGCGGCGUCGCGUGGAGGAUGAAGGUCUUAGGAUCGUAAACUCCUUUUGUUAGGGAGCAAAAAAAUGAGAGUACCUAACGAAUAAGUGCCUGCCAACCACGUGCCAGAAGCAUCGGUAAUACGUGGGGCACAAGCGUUAUCCGGUUUUACUGGGCGUAAAGUGAGUGUAGGCGUCUUUUUAAGUUACUUGUUAAAUCUUAGUGCUCAACACUAAGGCCGCAAGUAAUACUAAAAAGAUUGAGGUAGGUAGAGAAGAGAGGAAUUCCUGGUGGAGCGGUUAAAUGCGUUGAUAUCAGGAGGAACACCAAAGGUGAAGACAUCUCUUUGGACCUAUCCUGACGCUGAGACUCGAAAGCGUGGGGAGCAAAACGGAUUANAUACCCGUGUAGUCCACGCCCUAAACGAUCCUCGCUAGAUGUCUGCGACUUUUUGUUUGAACUUGUAUAANGGGA